Molecule: long non-coding RNA, 1208 nt
Filed under: Nicotiana benthamiana
Lineage: Eukaryota; Viridiplantae; Streptophyta; Magnoliopsida; Solanales; Solanaceae
Description: long non-coding RNA (NBEN_LNC034819)
Source: RNAcentral
CUCAAUUCACCAAGAAUAUUACAUUAAAUAAGUGAAUCUAUAGAAAGAAAUGUCACAACAUGUAAGCGCAAUUGUACCUUUGCAAUUUCGCAUACUGUCCCUAAGUAACAUGGCUGAAGCAUAAGGAAAUGUAUGCAUAAACAUUACAUGACUAUGUUUCUUUGAUGGAUGUCCAAUAUGUUAAUUUUACCAAGUAAAACAGGGGCAAAACAAAAUAUCAAGAAUUUGAGCAAGAAAAACAAAAACCAACCUGUUCAUCGGCAGCAAACUAGCUAGUUCUUCGUCAGACUUGCAUUUUUGAGCUAUUAAAUGGGACAAGUCCUCAUUAUCAGUGAACUAAAAAUGAAUUUAAAAAACAAGUAUCAAGACUUCAAUAAUGGCCUGAAUAAUCAAUCCACAUUAAGAUAUCGAAACAAGGAUACUUUUUCUAAGUUUAAAACAAAGACUACGCGAAAUAUAUCAUGGCGUUGCUACCUCAGCAAUUUGAAGAUAUUUCUUUUCUUUACAUGUAGAAAAUUUGAAUCACAAUCUUAACUGCUGUAUCAAAAUCUUAGUCUAUGUCUCGAUCAAUUUUUACCAUUAUUUAUGCAAAGUGCCUGACAUUUUACCAUUUCAUAUUCCAUCAACAACUGAUACUGAAAUUUAACCAACAACAAAUCAUCAAAAUAAUUGGACAUAGAAUAUCACAAUAAAAUUCACACCAAACAAAGACGACAAAGACUAUACCAUUUGUAUCAAAUCUGAACUUUGAGUUCUACAACAAGAAAAUCGCUAAGCAAAGAAACAUACCGGGAAGUCACUGAUUGCUUAAAUGCCAAAUAAAGGCUAAGAGAACGAAGAUGAAGCUCAGCAGAUCAACAAUACGGCAGCAAACAAAUUUAAUCUUAGAUAGAAAACCAAAUUGAAACCCAGAAAAUGGUGAUGAAAAGCUCCUCGAAUGCUAUCAACCCUAUGUUUUCUUAACCGCUGCUAGGUUUUUCAGGGGUGGGUUCUGUCUCUUUCAACGGAAAACGAAGGUUUCUCAUUUAUCUGAUGAGAGGAGUGAGAGACGGCUAGUUCGAAUUUUCAAAAAUGAAGGGGAGUCCGAUCUUUUUGGUAUGAGGAAUCUUAUUUUUGUCCAUGUCUAAUGUUUGCGGUGCUGGGGUUACGUAAUGAGAAGGGGAUCUGAUCUGGUUGAAAGAGGGAAGGCCUUCUUCUACUUUAGAAUG